CAGCAGCCGCGGUAAUACGUAGGUGGCAAGCGUUGUCCGGAUUUAUUGGGCGUAAAGCGAGCGCAGGCGGUUUCUUAAGUCUGAUGUGAAAGCCCCCGGCUCAACCGGGGAGGGUCAUUGGAAACUGGGAGACUUGAGUGCAGAAGAGGAGAGUGGAAUUCCAUGUGUAGCGGUGAAAUGCGUAGAUAUAUGGAGGAACACCAGUGGCGAAGGCGGCUCUCUGGUCUGUAACUGACGCUGAGGCUCGAAAGCGUGGGGAGCGAACAGGAUUAGAUACCCCAGUAGUCCCUGUCUCUUAUAC
This 301-nucleotide ribosomal RNA is filed under the name uncultured bacterium. RNAcentral's name for it is "partial 16S ribosomal RNA". It matches the Rfam family "Bacterial small subunit ribosomal RNA", at positions 509 to 807 of the family's 1533-position model. The record is from RNAcentral.